UAGAGUUUGAUCCUGGCUCAGAACGAACGCUGGCGGCAGGCUUAACACAUGCAGGUCGAGCGCCCCGCAAGGGGAGCGGCAGACGGGUGAGUAACGCGUGGGAAUCUACCCAUCUCUACGGAACAACUCCGGGAAACUGGAGCUAAUACCGUAUACGUCCUUUUGGAGAAAGAUUUAUCGGAGAUGGAUGAGCCCGCGUUGGAUUAGCUAGUUGGUGGGGUAAAGGCCUACCAAGGCGACGAUCCAUAGCUGGUCUGAGAGGAUGAUCAGCCACACUGGGACUGAGACACGGCCCAGACUCCUACGGGAGGCAGCAGUGGGGAAUAUUGGACAAUGGGCGCAAGCCUGAUCCAGCCAUGCCGCGUGAGUGAUGAAGGCCCUAGGGUUGUAAAGCUCUUUCAACGGUGAAGAUAAUGACGGUAACCGUAGAAGAAGCCCCGGCUAACUUCGUGCCAGCAGCCGCGGUAA
This 468-nucleotide ribosomal RNA is filed under the name uncultured Aminobacter sp. RNAcentral describes it as "bacterial SSU rRNA". It matches the Rfam family "Bacterial small subunit ribosomal RNA", at positions 1 to 523 of the family's 1533-position model. The record is from RNAcentral. Lineage: Bacteria; Pseudomonadati; Pseudomonadota; Alphaproteobacteria; Hyphomicrobiales; Phyllobacteriaceae.